RNAcentral lists this unclassified non-coding RNA (429 nucleotides) under soil metagenome. RNAcentral describes it as "partial contains 5.8S ribosomal RNA, internal transcribed spacer 2, and large subunit ribosomal RNA". The stretch from base 1 to 120 matches the Rfam family "5.8S ribosomal RNA", at positions 35 to 154 of the family's 154-position model. The record is from RNAcentral.
GAUGAAGAACGCAGCGAAAUGCGAUACGUAAUGUGAAUUGCAGAAUUCAGUGAAUCAUCGAAUCUUUGAACGCAUAUUGCGCUCUUUGGUAUUCCGAAGAGCAUGCUUGUUUGAGUAUCAGUAAACACCUCAAAGACUUCAAUUUGUUUUGAAUGGCUUUGGACUUGAGCAAUCCCAACACCAGUCUUUACGAUCGGUGGAGGGUUGCUUGAAAUGCAGGUGCAGCUGGACAUUCUCCUGAGCUAAAAGCAUAUUUAUUUGGUCCCGUCAAACGGAUUAUUACUUUUGCUGCAGCUAACAUAAAGGGAGUUUGACCGUAUUGGCUGACUGAUGCAGGAUUUCACAAGGGUCGGCAACGAUUCUUGUAAAACUCGAUCUCAAAUCAAGUAAGACUACCCGCUGAACUUAAGCAUAUCAAUAAGCGGAGGA